Molecule: non-coding RNA, 29 nt
Filed under: Rattus norvegicus (Norway rat)
Lineage: Eukaryota; Metazoa; Chordata; Mammalia; Rodentia; Muridae
Source: RNAcentral
UCCNCUGCUACUAUGAAGCUUGUGACCUU